AGGAAAUUUCGUUUUUAACGAAGGGUUUAUAGAGGGAUAAUUAUUUAGUUGUAGAUUUAUAAAGAGUGUAUUUUUAAAUUGUUUGAUUAAAGAAAGGUUAAAUUUUGUGAGUGGAACGUAUAUAUUAUAAAGUAUUUUUUGAGAAUGAUUUUGUUUGGUUAUUAUACGAAGAUAUUUUUUUUUUUGUUUUUGGUUUUAAAGCGUUUGAAAUUUUUAGUUGUAAAUUUUAUAAAAAGGGUGUUUAAUAUUUGUUUUUUUAAAGGAAAGUUUAAUUUUAUGAGUUGAAUAUAUAUAGUAUAAAGAAGUUAUUGAGAUUUUUUUUAUUAAAUAUUAUAUGAAGAAAUUUCGUUUU
Molecule: unclassified non-coding RNA, 352 nt
Filed under: Hevea brasiliensis (rubber tree)
Lineage: Eukaryota; Viridiplantae; Streptophyta; Magnoliopsida; Malpighiales; Euphorbiaceae
Source: RNAcentral